UUCUUUUAUCAACCGCAAGCAGGCAGCUUUUGGAACGAUACAGAGAAGAUUAGCAUGGCCCCUACGCAAGGAUGACACGCAUAAAUCGAGAAAUUGUCCAAAUAUAA
Dendrobium catenatum is the source of this 107-nucleotide small nuclear RNA. The record is from RefSeq and is a predicted model, not a curated record. NCBI's taxonomy places the organism in Eukaryota, Viridiplantae, Streptophyta, Magnoliopsida, Asparagales, Orchidaceae.